RNAcentral lists this ribosomal RNA (1356 nucleotides) under uncultured bacterium. RNAcentral's name for it is "16S ribosomal RNA". It matches the Rfam family "Bacterial small subunit ribosomal RNA", at positions 28 to 1381 of the family's 1533-position model. The record is from RNAcentral.
GAUGAACGCUAGCGACAGGCCUAACACAUGCAAGUCGAGGGGCAGCGCGUGGUAGCAAUACCAUGGCGGCGACCGGCGCACGGGUGCGUAACGCGUAUGCAACCUGGCCCCCACGGGGGGAUAGCCCGCCGAAAGGCGGAUUAAUACCCCGUAUGCCUGGCGGCCCGCAUGGGCUUUCAGGGAAAGUGGCGACACGGUGGGGGAUGGGCAUGCGUCCCAUUAGCUUGUUGGCGGUGCAACGGACCACCAAGGCGACGAUGGGUAGGGGUUCUGAGAGGAAGGCCCCCCACACUGGUACUGAGACAGGGACCAGACUCCUACGGGAGGCAGCAGUGAGGAAUAUUGGUCAAUGGGCGGAAGCCUGAACCAGCCAAGUCGCGUGCAGGAGGAAGGCCCUACGGGUCGCAGACUGCUUUUAUGCGGGGAUAGCGGGGCCGACGUGUCGGCUUAUGAAGGUACCGCAUGAAUAAGGAUCGGCUAACUCCGUGCCAGCAGCCGCGGUAAUACGGAGGAUUCGAGCGUUAUCCGGAUUCAUUGGGUUUAAAGGGUGCGCAGGCGGCACAUCAAGUCAGCGGUCAAACUGCGGCGCUCAACGCCGUAUCGCCGUUGAAACUGAUGAGCUUGAGUGCGUGCGAGGGAGGCGGAAUGCGCAGUGUAGCGGUGAAAUGCAUAGAUAUUACUCAGAACACCGAUUGCGAAGGCAUCUCACGAAUCCGACACUGACGCUGAGGCACGAAAGCGUGGGGAUCAAACAGGAUUAGAUACCCUGGUAGUCCACGCAGUAAACGAUGAUGACUAACUGUCGGCGAUAAACAGUCGGUGGCCAAGCGAAAGCGAUAAGUCAUCCACCUGGGGAGUACGUUCGCAAGAAUGAAACUCAAAGGAAUUGACGGGGGCCCGCACAAGCGGAGGAACAUGUGGUUUAAUUCGAUGAUACGCGAGGAACCUUACCCGGGCUUGAAUUGCAGCGGAAGGAAGCAGAGAUGCUGACGCCCUCGGGGCCGCUGUGAAGGUGCUGCAUGGUUGUCGUCAGCUCGUGCCGUGAGGUGUCGGCUUAAGUGCCAUAACGAGCGCAACCCCUCUCUUCAGUUGCCAUCGGUUCGAGCCGGGCACUCUGGAGACACUGCCGCCGCAAGGCGUGAGGAAGGUGGGGACGACGUCAAAUCAGCACGGCCCUUACGUCCGGGGCUACACACGUGUUACAAUGGGUGGUACAGAGAGCUGGGCUUCCGCAAGGCAGCCCGAAUCAAGAAAUCCAUCCUCAGUUCGGAUUGGGGUCUGCAACCCGACCCCAUGAAGCUGGAUUCGCUAGUAAUCGCGCAUCAGCCAUGGCGCGGUGAAUACGUUCCCGGGCCU